UAAUACGGAGGGUGCAAGCGUUAUCCGGAAUCAUUGGGUUUAAAGGGUCCGCAGGCGGAUUUAUAAGUCAGUGGUGAAAGCCUACAGCUUAACUGUAGAACUGCCAUUGAUACUGUAAGUCUUGAAUUUGGUCGAAGUGGGCGGAAUAUGACAUGUAGCGGUGAAAUGCAUAGAUAUGUCAUAGAACACCGAUAGCGAAGGCAGCUCACUAGGCCAACAUUGACGCUCAUGGACGAAAGCGUGGGGAGCAAACAGGAUUAGAUACCCUGGUAGUCCACGCCGUAAACUAUCAAUACUCGUUUUCAGCGAUAUACUGUUGGAGACUAAGCGAAAGUGAUAAGUAUUGCACCUGGGGAGUACGAUCGCAAGGUUG
This 373-nucleotide ribosomal RNA is filed under the name uncultured bacterium. RNAcentral describes it as "bacterial SSU rRNA". It matches the Rfam family "Bacterial small subunit ribosomal RNA", at positions 521 to 896 of the family's 1533-position model. The record is from RNAcentral.